RNAcentral lists this ribosomal RNA (161 nucleotides) under Escherichia coli. RNAcentral describes it as "partial 23S ribosomal RNA". It matches the Rfam family "Bacterial large subunit ribosomal RNA", at positions 2782 to 2925 of the family's 2925-position model. RNAcentral also lists the same sequence under 3 other names. Lineage: Bacteria; Pseudomonadati; Pseudomonadota; Gammaproteobacteria; Enterobacterales; Enterobacteriaceae. The record is from RNAcentral.
UAAGCACGAAACUUGCCCCGAGAUGAGUUCUCCCUGAGACUUAGAGUCUCCUGAAGGAACGUUGAAGACGACGACGUUGAUAGGCCGGGUGUGUAAGCGCAGCGAUGCGUUGAGCUAACCGGUACUAAUGAACCGUGAGGCUUAACCUUACAACGCCGAAG